GUGGGACGUGACACGCUUGGGGCAGAGGGAAUUUUAAAUGGGCAAAUGUGGGGAAUGCCCUGCCCUGUCCCAUGACUGACUCAGCUCAUUUCCAAGUGCAGGAAGGGGCUCUCCAGCCAUCCCAGUUGCUGCAGCUGUGCAACCCAGGGCUAACAGUAUUUCUGCACAAAAGUACUGUACUUGGCUGUCUCUGAGGUGAAGGAGCAGCUUAACACCUCUAACCAAGGCAGCAAGGGGCAGCCCUCCCAGCACUGACCUUUCCUCAUUCCAGCCUCCUAAAAGGAAGCAAGCCAGCAGCAUGCCUAGGCCCCCAUGUGCUCUGCAGGAGGAGCUGACACUGGAAGCGCCAGCACAGAUCCUGAACAUAAUUACAGGCUGAUAUUUGCGCUGACUGCAGGUGGCCAUUGAAGUUACUGACACAUGUGGAAACAUAUUUUAUACUCUGUUUAUACUUUCAUUUUCCCCAUGAUUUAAACCUGGCACCAAAAUAACUUGUCCAGUCAUUACAGGGAGAACGAAUAAAAGCUUGUCAUUGAAAA
Molecule: non-coding RNA, 539 nt
Organism: Cyanistes caeruleus (blue tit)
Lineage: Eukaryota; Metazoa; Chordata; Aves; Passeriformes; Paridae
Source: RefSeq, a predicted model, not a curated record